This is a non-coding RNA of Meleagris gallopavo (turkey), 6405 nucleotides long. The record is from RefSeq and is a predicted model, not a curated record. Lineage: Eukaryota; Metazoa; Chordata; Aves; Galliformes; Phasianidae.
UGUGCCAAUUUCAACAAAACCUUUUCAGUUUCAAGAAGGCUUUUCUGGUUAAAAGUGAAUAAAGCUUAGAAGACCCACCUGGCCAGUAGAUGUAUGUAAAGUAAGACAGCACAAAGCCCCAUAAGCAAGACAAUUCUGCCAGAUAGCUUCUUGUGUAACAUUUCCCGUCAGGAGCAACACUCAUCCUCGUACUGAAGAAUUCUAAGGAUUGGUCCACAGACUGCAUUACAUUUGGCAUGGUUUCCACCACUGUAACAUCAGCAUUUCAAAACUCAGUGAUCCAGAGUAGCCAAAGAAAAGUCAUGAAGAGUAACACUUCUGGAUGUCUCAAUGACAGGAGAAUGGCCUGUUUAUGUCAGCGGGGAAGAGUAACAGCAUGGACUGAUGAAGCAAAUAACUGCUUCUUGAAGCUGGACUGCAUAUCAGUGACAAUCCUUAUUUUACUCUAACUUUUAGGAAGAGACCCAUUAUUAAAACAUCACAUCAGUUUAAAGCAAGAUUUAGAUACACGCCCCCAAAAGAGCAUCUUCCUAACUGGGCAAAAUGCUAUAUUAAUAUUGUUUUAAUUAGUCAGUAACUGUCAGCAGUUACUGUCUCUAAGCUGAUCAAUAUUUGGCAACAAACAUCAGCCACACAAAGUUGGUGCCUCUGAAACUGCAGUGAUCCCUCUCAAUUUUGAAUUGCUUUCCACCCCCACCUAAAUCUUAUUCUUUAAGUACAGAACAUUGGACCUUGUAGGCUAUCUGGAGGCGGAAUUUAACAGGCAAAUGACCUGAAGACACUGCGUGGAAUGAAAAGAAGAAAAGUGAAAGCUUGUGUUACCUCUUGAGGUUCCCUAAGGUAUCUACAGUGUUACCAGAAGGUUCAGGAAGUUGCAUCUGUCAAGUGUGAAAUUCUUAAGCUCCAGAAAUGCCCAUUAAGAGAAUUAGGAAACACCUGCAGAUUUUCAUCCACCAGAACGCUCUCGUCUCUUCAUCAUAUGCAAUAUAUGUAACCUAUGCACACUUUUUUUUUUUUUCCUGAAGUGUUUUAUUGCCUAUUUGUUCAAAUGCAAAUUUUAUAUUUUUCUCACUUUGGAGGUGUGAAAACAAUACUUGUUCUAUAUUAACAACGCGUUUAUUCGUUUCCAUUGGAAUGAUUUUUGGUCUUUGAAAGUGAAUGUUCUCUUGAAUGGAUCUAAGAUGACGUUACAUUCACUCUCUCCUAUGGUUUUAUAAAUACGGAGAUUAGAUGACAAUGGAAGAUUAAAAAUGGCGUAAAACUGAUUAAAUAGCUUGUUUCUCUGAUGCUUUAAUUUGUAACUUCAUCGAUCAUCAGGGCACAAAUAAAUUUGUAAAAGCUGUGGGUGAGUAUUCAGGGCUGGGGCCUGAGUGUUGUAUUCAGAGGCAUGUAUUGAAAGUUAAACAAACUCAUCAGAGUCACCUUAAGUACAUGAACAUUUCUGGUGCAUUUUGUAGUUUUACAGCUUUGCUCCAAAAACAACACCAUGAGACUCUCAAGCAGCCAAGGGACGCAGAAACACUGUCAAAAUCACUAGAGCGCAGUUAGAGAGCACUUUUAAUGUAACAUGAGUAAUUGUAUAUAACAAUUGCCAAUAUCCACAAGCACUAACAAUGUCUGUAGUGCAGAAGGUGAAGGCGGCUGUGGCAGACUUUAAAUGAUAAUUAUCUUUUCCAAUAGUACUUCAUUGGAAACUAGUAAGCUUGACGUUUCCCUGCAGCUGCUUCUCCUUCACAUAUUGCAUCUGGCCUAGACCACUGAAAAUGAUUUAAUGGUGAGAAAUGUUGAAAAAUUACAGCAUUUUGAAUACUCAUUGUUCUAGCUGGCGUUCUGUUAAUUUGGUCCUGGUUUACAAAUGUCUUUAGGGAUUUCUAUUAACAGAUAGGUUCCCAGGUACUUUGGCAAUGCAAUAAGCUGCUUCAUUUUGUUUCGUAUAGGAAACAAACUCAGGACAUGCUUUGAGCUGGUGGAGUUCAGCUAUCUGAGAGGCAAUGGUAGAUUUUCCAAAUGUGUUUAUAUUAAAAAAAGAAACAAAAACACCUGGAUUAGUAUAGCCUCAGUAUCUAGAUGUACCACAAAGUCCUUCUGUCACUUCCUCAAAAGAGGUUUUCAAGAUCCCAAGAUGUAAACUAAAGAGAAAAAUGAAGAGAAUACUCUUACCCGGUUAAUUAGCCUGCAUCAUCUAUAACUCAAGAAAUAUAUGGUGAUGAGGUUUUUGGUGCAAUAGAAUCUAGGGGUCUUAGUAUAUUUGUAAAAGCCUUCCUGAAAAUUGCAAAUGGCUUGCUUUUUCUUCAAAUGUUGUGCUUAAUUCCCAUAGGAGUAUAUCAUCAUGAGAAUGUUGAAGCCUUUUGCAUAACUAUACUUAAACCCAUUCACUGAUACUGUCAGGUGAUCAGAAAGAUAACUACUUCCCAACAGAUAACUUCCCAACAGAGUGGUGCUGCUUGGCCACAACUGUGGAAGAGCUGGUGUAUAGGAGACAAAUUUUCAUUACCAUAGUGAGCCCUGACUUAUAACAACAGUCAUUUUGGUCAGUGAUCUCUCAACUGGAGGAGAGCUGGAGAAGAGUUAGCUAGCUAGUGUCUGAGUGAUGGUAGUCCAUGUGGAAAAUUCAGAUUUUUCUCUCAAUUACAAAGCUAAAAAGUCAAGCAUUCCACUGCAAUAUUUCCUGACUAAAAAUCUGGUAACUGAUGGAUUUCUACACCAGUUCUUUACUUUUUUUUUUUACAAUGAUGUUUCUUAGCCAUACAGCAUUCAUUAAGAACAAACAAACAAACAAACAAGCAAAAAAUUCAGCCAGCAUUACUUGAGACUGAAGGAGUAAACUUUAUUAUGAACAAGAGUAAAAACAAACAAAAAACCUAUCUGUAUAUGUGCUGAUGCUUAAAAAAUGCUCAUGUAAAUUGAGGACCUUGGGGGGGAAAAAAAAAGCUAGAUAUUGCUUAUCAUCCAUUUCUUUUCUCCAGGGAUAAUAGAUAGAAUAGCAAAGAAUGGUACAAAUGAGAAUAGAAUUUUAUGCUGUUUGACAUAAAAUACACAAUAGAAAACUAAUAUAGUUACGUCAAUAAAUCUUUUAAAUGCAGAGAAUUCCCUCAUUCCAGCGUUGCAUUAUGAAUUCAGUAGCAUUACACUUUAUUUGACAGUUGGUAGCAAAACUUGAACUCAGAUUAUUAAUAACCUUUCCACAGUCUAUCAUUAAUGUCAGUGGGUGCGGUUUAGGAGUUUUAUUUUGGCAAGUGUAAUAUGUUAACAUAUUAACUGACUGCUCGUAUAGUCAGAGCAGAAAUGCUAGCCAGGGUAGGCAUUUCACGCCAAUUCUGGAGGCACUAAAAAUAAACUGUUACUUACCAACUCAGACGACUUAGUAAAUGUCUGAAUUCUACAGCCUUUGAAGUGCUACAUCAACACUUACUCCAGAGUUUAAGACAUUUCUUUCAGUAAGCAUUUACAUAGAAGAGGACAGUUUGGCUACAGGACAUUUGGAGCAGACAAAUCAUGUCAUUGAUAUCUUGUCAAGUUUAACAUCCUGUGAAGGCAACUGGCGACAGUAUGCUCUGCUAGAAGAGACGGGCGGCUGUAAGUGCAGCCUGUGGAGCUGCUGAAUAUUGACCUCGACCGUUGAGUACAGAUACAGUUAUGCAUAUCUUGACUCAUGUUAAGCAAUGGAAUCUUUUUUUAGCUAUACUCUUGUACAUAAUACAUUUACUGCGGAUUACAAUUGGUACCACAUAAGAUGCUAUUGUGUCAGCAUGAAGUGAUACACAAAUUUAGCUCUUCAACAAAAACUGUGUGCUAUAUGAGCACUUGAAAUUUUGUUUUGAAUUAAGAAAUGAGCCUAAGUACUGACUGAUAAAUUAGAAUUUCUCUGUUCCGGGAGGACUUACACUGAUGUACCCUUUUUGGGGUACCAAUCCCACAGAGUUGCUCAGAGCUGUCCAAGGCUCUCCUAAACCUUCAAGUGCUGCUUCAUAGGAGACAGAAUCAAGAAAGGGAUCCUAUGGUCUCUCUCAUAAUACAUGGACCCACAGAUCACUACUGUCUCCUAUCAGAGUUCAAGAGAACAUUAAGAAAAAAUUGGCCUAGAAGUUGCUUGGAAGGAUUAAUGUACUCCCUUCCUUUACUUCCAAACUAAAGACUCCCACCUAGGCCAUCCCUGACAUGUUUACUUUCACUGUUUUAAAUAACUUCUAAUCAGGGAGCUCUUAUGAUCACUGUGUUUCACUGCUAAAGGCUGGAGCACUAUUCUAAAACUGGUUGGAUUUUUUUUCCUAAUAGCUAGCAGAAAUGCCUCCUGUUACACAUUAAGACAAUUACUUCUCUUCCUAACCUCACUAGAUACAAAGAAUAUUGAUCGUUUCCUUCUUGAUAUGUAUUAGAAGAAAAAUCACUUUUCUGCCUAAGCAAUCAUAUUUUUUUCAACUUUGUUAUCAUUUUUAAAUCCCUUAUCAUUCCUUGCUACUUUGUACAUAUUGUAUUCAUUUUCAUUUCAGAAAAGGAUGGUGUGAUUGCCAAAUUAAAUUGGUCUGUGUUCCCACUUUAAUUUGUUGAGCCCAAUUUUUUCUACUUUCUGUCUUGUAGUCUGUUCACCUACACUGUCUUUUCUGUUGGUUGCUUCUUAAAAUCUUGUUUAGACUGCUUUCAAAGCUUUACAAAUAUCAAGCUAAGUUAGGUCUAUUAUUUUCCACCAACAGAAAGAAAAUUUUUUCUCUCACAGGAGAAAAUUUUAAAGUCUUGACAUGGUACAUCCUCAAAAUCUGUGUUGGUAGUUUCUUGUCAUGUUAUCCUUUCUAUAAUUAAAAGAUAGAUUGUUUAAGAAUAAUGACAGCAGCAGUGAUUGUACUAUAUUUUAAUAAUUAUAGACAUUAGCUUCUCAUGUGUGCAACAUCCUAAAACUGUUUUUAUUCCCUUUCCAGAAUGGUACUUUAUUUGACUAUCCACAGUCCCUCCUUGUGCAUUCUCUUUGCACCUCUAAUCAUUAAAAAGUUUCUUGUAAUUUUAGUAUUUUAAGUAUGGAACCUCUAUUUAAGCUAAAGUUGUCUUUCUUCAAACUAUUGUUUUCCUUUUCUUCCUGAUAUCUCUUCUCUUGUUUAAACUAAUUCUUUUAAGAAUCUUUUCAUAUAUUUAAAAUUGCCUGAGUAAAAUGGCAUUGAAUAGUUCAACAUGCAUCAUAUAGCUAAUUUUCUGUUUAGUAAUGUGCAGUCCUAUAAAAAAAACACUUUACAUAUGCAAUACUAUGUGAAAACAGAGCCAGAAGAAGUUGUUCAUCACACUCCUCUUCCGUUUAACGUUAGUCCUGAAUUCAGAGAAGAGUGACUGUGCAGAAAACACAGGGCCCAUUCAGCCUGACCUUGAGCACGUCCAGGGAUGGGACAUCCACAGUCUCCUGUGGGUCUGGGACAUACCCAGUCUCCUGGGUAGCCUGAGCCAAUGCCUCACCACCCACUCAGUGAAAAAUUUCCCCCUGACAUCUAUUCUAAAUCUCCCCUCUUUUAGUUUAAAGCCAUUUCCUCUUGUUCUAUCACUAUCAACUUGUAUAAUAAGCUGAUCUCCCUUUUGUUUUUUUUAAGUUCCCUUUAAAAGUAUUGGAGGGCCUGAAGCUUUCUCUUCUCCAGGCUGAACAAGCCCAGUACCAAAGAUAUAGAUGAAUAUAUAUUUUUCGCUGUACAUGGAACAUGGCAUUCAGUUUAGAAGACCUUUUUUUUCCUAAAUCAAAAAGAUAGCAAAGACAGUUAGGGUUGAUUUUAAAGUGUUUUAAAUAGUUAACAUGUAUGUUGUAUCCUGCAGUGUUAAUGUUAGUCUGGUAACAUAUAAUGAAGUGACAUUGCAAUAAAUAACACAGUGCAACAAAUUGUAUGUAUUGUGACAAAGUUGUUUUCCUAAUACCACUCAAUUUAAUCACAGGUAAUUUUGUCAAUAUUUACAACACAACACCACAUUCUUUUCCUCAUCCCCACAUCUGGCAUCACCAGGUUCUUUAGAUCAGAACUUCAGUCUUAAAUGCAAAACUCCAAGUUCUCAAACACUACAGAGAAAUAAAGUAUUUUCAUACAUUACAUGCCCAUUUUCAAAUACAUCAAACCAUGCUUCUUUCUUUCUUUCUGAUCAGAGAAUUAGAAAAUAUUUUGUGUUGUGAAUAACAAAACAACAGGCUUGGUUGUAGUUGCAAAUGCUGAUUCUGUUCCUAAUCCAAAAUUUCUGUACAUGUGGAGUGUACGUGUAUUAUUCUCAGUGGGACAAGUUACACAAGGAACUUAAAGACAGUGAUCUAAUUGAAAUUUAAGAACCAAGUUCCAAACAAAGGAGAAUAUUUUCCUCUUGUUUUACUGCCAUUAGACCUUCCCCUGAGAACAGGAAAAUUACAUAAGCAUUUUAAAGUUUUUCUUGGAGAUAUCUGGCUAUCACACG